This 253-nucleotide ribosomal RNA is filed under the name uncultured bacterium. RNAcentral describes it as "partial 16S ribosomal RNA". It matches the Rfam family "Bacterial small subunit ribosomal RNA", at positions 524 to 776 of the family's 1533-position model. The record is from RNAcentral.
UACGAAGGGGGCUAGCGUUGUUCGGAAUUACUGGGCGUAAAGCGCACGUAGGCGGAUACUUAAGUCAGGGGUGAAAUCCCGGGGCUCAACCCCGGAACUGCCUUUGAUACUGGGUAUCUCGAGUCCGGAAGAGGUGAGUGGAAUUCCGAGUGUAGAGGUGAAAUUCGUAGAUAUUCGGAGGAACACCAGUGGCGAAGGCGGCUCACUGGUCCGGUACUGACGCUGAGGCGCGAAAGCGUGGGGAGCAAACAGG